Molecule: long non-coding RNA, 301 nt
Filed under: Pan troglodytes (chimpanzee)
Lineage: Eukaryota; Metazoa; Chordata; Mammalia; Primates; Hominidae
Description: long non-coding RNA NONPTRT005675
Source: RNAcentral
AGUCUUCAGAUGUUUUAACAUGCUCCUAUACAUGGGGAAUUCCUCAAAGGAGAGACAAAUAGGAGAAUCUGUUUUUGAUCAAUCAUAAAACCUUUUUUGAGAUGGUGUUUCACCAGGUUGGCCAGGCUGGUCUCGAACUCCUGACAGAUGAUCCAUCUGCCUCGGCCUCCCAAAGUGCUGGGAUUACAGGAGUGAGCCACUGUGCCCAGCUGCCAUUAUUCUUAAAUAAUAUGAAAAAUGCAAAAUAAUGCCAGCCAGCAAAGAUAUACUGAAGCUGGCACUGUAAAUCAGUUCAACCUUU